GACGAACGCUGUCGGCGUGCCUAACACAUGCAAGUCGAACGGAAAGGCCCUGCUUUUGUGGGGUGCUCGAGUGGCGAACGGGUGAGUAACACGUGAGUAACCUGCCCUUGACUUUGGGAUAACUUCAGGAAACUGGGGCUAAUACCGGAUAGGAGCUCCUGCUGCAUGGUGGGGGUUGGAAAGUUUCGGCGGUUGGGGAUGGACUCGCGGCUUAUCAGCUUGUUGGUGGGGUAGUGGCUUACCAAGGCUUUGACGGGUAGCCGGCCUGAGAGGGUGACCGGCCACAUUGGGACUGAGAUACGGCCCAGACUCCUACGGGAGGCAGCAGUGGGGAAUAUUGCACAAUGGGCGGAAGCCUGAUGCAGCGACGCCGCGUGCGGGAUGACGGCCUUCGGGUUGUAAACCGCUUUCGCCUGUGACGAAGCGUGAGUGACGGUAAUGGGUAAAGAAGCACCGGCUAACUACGUGCCAGCAGCCGCGGUGAUACGUAGGGUGCGAGCGUUGUCCGGAUUUAUUGGGCGUAAAGGGCUCGUAGGUGGUUGAUCGCGUCGGAAGUGUAAUCUUGGGGCUUAACCCUGAGCGUGCUUUCGAUACGGGUUGACUUGAGGAAGGUAGGGGAGAAUGGAAUUCCUGGUGGAGCGGUGGAAUGCGCAGAUAUCAGGAGGAACACCAGUGGCGAAGGCGGUUCUCUGGGCCUUUCCUGACGCUGAGGAGCGAAAGCGUGGGGAGCGAACAGGCUUAGAUACCCUGGUAGUCCACGCUGUAAACGGUGGGUACUAGGUGUGGGGUCCAUUCCACGGGUUCCGUGCCGUAGCUAACGCUUUAAGUACCCCGCCUGGGGAGUACGGCCGCAAGGCUAAAACUCAAAGGAAUUGACGGGGCCCCGCACAAGCGGCGGAGCAUGCGGAUUAAUUCGAUGCAACGCGUAGAACCUUACCUGGGUUUGACAUGGAUCGGGAGUGCUCAGAGAUGGGUGUGCCUCUUUUGGGGUCGGUUCACAGGUGGUGCAUGGCUGUCGUCAGCUCGUGUCGUGAGAUGUUGGGUUAAGUCCCGCAACGAGCGCAACCCUUGUUCACUGUUGCCAGCACGUUAUGGUGGGGACUCAGUGGAGACCGCCGGGGUCAACUCGGAGGAAGGUGGGGAUGACGUCAAGUCAUCAUGCCCCUUAUGUCCAGGGCUUCACGCAUGCUACAAUGGCUGGUACAGAGAGUGGCGAGCCUGUGAGGGUGAGCGAAUCUCGGAAAGCCGGUCUCAGUUCGGAUUGGGGUCUGCAACUCGACCUCAUGAAGUCGGAGUCGCUAGUAAUCGCAGAUCAGCAACGCUGCGGUGAAUACGUUCCCGGGGCU
Molecule: ribosomal RNA, 1346 nt
Filed under: uncultured bacterium
Lineage: Bacteria
Description: partial 16S ribosomal RNA
Rfam family: Bacterial small subunit ribosomal RNA
Source: RNAcentral